RNAcentral lists this ribosomal RNA (473 nucleotides) under uncultured organism. RNAcentral describes it as "partial 16S ribosomal RNA". It matches the Rfam family "Bacterial small subunit ribosomal RNA", at positions 334 to 798 of the family's 1533-position model. The record is from RNAcentral.
CACUCCUACGGGAGGCAGCAGUGGGGAAUUUUGGACAAUGGGCGAAAGCCUGAUCCAGCAAUGCCGCGUGAGUGAAGAAGGCCUUCGGGUUGUAAAGCUCUUUUGUCAGGGAAGAAACGGUGAAAGCUAAUAUCUUUUGCUAAUGACGGUACCUGAAGAAUAAGCACCGGCUAACUACGUGCCAGCAGCCGCGGUAAUACGUAGGGUGCAAGCGUUAAUCGGAAUUACUGGGCGUAAAGCGUGCGCAGGCGGUUUUGUAAGUCUGAUGUGAAAUCCCCGGGCUCAACCUGGGAAUUGCAUUGGAGACUGCAAGGCUGGAAUCUGGAAGAGGGAGGUGGAAUUCCACGUGUAGCGGUGAAAUGCGUAGAUAUGUGGAGGAACACCGAUGGCGAAGGCAGCCCCCUGGGUCAAGAUUGACGCUCAUGCACGAAAGCGUGGGGAGCAAACAGGAUUAGAAACCCUUGUAGUCCCAU